Molecule: transfer RNA, 71 nt
Filed under: Stegodyphus mimosarum
Lineage: Eukaryota; Metazoa; Arthropoda; Arachnida; Araneae; Eresidae
Rfam family: tRNA
About the family: Transfer RNA (tRNA) molecules are approximately 80 nucleotides in length. Their secondary structure includes four short double-helical elements and three loops (D, anti-codon, and T loops).
Source: Rfam by way of RNAcentral
GCCUUCGUGGUGUAAGGGUUAUACACUUGGAGCUUAUUCAAGAGGUCCAGGUUCGAAUCCCGGCGAGGGCA